GGCAUCUUUUUGUUUUUAAAAGACCUUCUUACGAAGGUAUGCUUAAAGAGGGGCUUGCGCCACAUUAGUUAGUUGGUAGAGUAAAAGCCUACCAAGACGAUGAUGUGUAGCUGGACUGAGAGGUUGAACAGCCACAUUGGGACUGAGACACGGCCCAAACUCCUACGGGAGGCAGCAGUAGGGAAUUUUCGGCAAUGGAGGAAACUCUGACCGAGCAACGCCGCGUGAACGAUGAAGUAUUUCGGUAUGUAAAGUUCUUUUAUUGAAGAAGAAAAAGUAGUGGAAAAACUAUAUUGACGUUAUUCAAUGAAUAAGCCCCGGCUAACUAUGUGCCAGCAGCCGCGGUAAGACAUAGGGGGCGAGCGUUAUCCGGAAUUAUUGGGCGUAAAGGGUGCGUAGGCUGUUAGAUAAGUCUAUAAUUUAAUUUCAGUGCUUAACGCUGUCUUGUUAUAGAAACUGUCUUGACUAGAGUGAGAUAGAGGCAAGCGGAAUUCCAUGUGUAGCGGUAAAAUGUGUAAAUAUAUGGAGGAACACCAGAAGCGUAGGCGGCUUGCUGGGUCUUUACUGACGCUGAGGCACGAAAGCGUGGGUAGCAAACAGGAUUAGAUACCCUGGUAGUCCACGCCGUAAACGAUGAGUACUAAGUGUCGGGGUAAAACUCGGUACUGAAGUUAACACAUUAAGUACUCCGCCUGAGUAGUACGUACGCAAGUAUGAAACUUAAAGGAAUUGACGGGACUCCGCACAAGCGGUGGAUCAUGUUGUUUAAUUCGAAGAUACACGAAAAAUCUUACCAGGUCUUGACAUACUCUGCAAAGCUAUAGAAAUAUAGUGGAGGUUAUCAGGGAUACAGGUGGUGCAUGGUUGUCGUCAGUUCGUGUCGUGAGAUGUUAGGUUAAGUCCUAAAACGAACGCAACCCUUGUCGUUAAUUGCCAGCACAUAAUGGUGGGGACUUUAACGAGACUGCCAAUUAAACAUUGGAGGAAGGUGAGGAUUACGUCAAAUCAUCAUGCCCCUUAUGAUCUGGGCUACAAACGUGAUACAAUGGCUGUGACAAAGAGUAGCUGAAACGCGAGUUUUUAGCCAAUCUCAAAAAAGCAGUCUCAGUUCGGAUUGAAGUCUGUAACUCGACUUCAUGAAGUUGGAAUCGCUAGUAAUCGCGAAUCAGCAUGUCGCGGUGAAUACGUUCUCGGGGUUUGUACACACCGCCCGUCAAACCACGAAAGUUAGCAAUGCCCGAAAGCAGUAGCUUAACUUCGCAA
Molecule: ribosomal RNA, 1263 nt
Filed under: Brinjal little leaf phytoplasma
Lineage: Bacteria; Bacillati; Mycoplasmatota; Mollicutes; Acholeplasmatales; Acholeplasmataceae
Description: bacterial SSU rRNA
Rfam family: Bacterial small subunit ribosomal RNA
Source: RNAcentral